CCUACGGGCGACAGCAGUGAGGAAUAUUGGUCAAUGGGCGCGAGCCUGAACCAGCCAAGUAGCGUGAAGGAUGACUGCUCUAUGGGUUGUAAACUUCUUUUAUAUGGGAAUAAAAUGUUCCACGUGUGGGAUUUUGUAUGUACUAUAUGAAUAAGGAUCGGCUAACUCCGUGCCAGCAGCCGCGGUAAUACGGAGGAUCCGAGCGUUAUCCGGAUUUAUUGGGUUUAAAGGGAGCGUAGGUGGAUUGUUAAGUCAGUUGUGAAAGUUUGCGGCUCAACCGUAAAAUUGCAGUUGAAACUGGCAGUCUUGAGUACAGUAGAGGUGGGCGGAAUUCGUGGUGUAGCGGUGAAAUGCUUAGAUAUCACGAAGAACUCCGAUUGCGAAGGCAGCUCACUGGACUGCAACUGACACUGAGGCUCGAAAGUGUGGGUAUCAAACAGGAUUAGAUACCCGUGUAGUC
Molecule: ribosomal RNA, 460 nt
Filed under: uncultured bacterium
Lineage: Bacteria
Description: partial 16S ribosomal RNA
Rfam family: Bacterial small subunit ribosomal RNA
Source: RNAcentral